GGAUGUAUGGCGAAAUUGGUAAACGCUACGCUCUAUAAUGGGGAAGGUCAAACCCUAGGCGAAGAGGUUGACAACUCUUUCCGGUUCGAGUCCGGAUACAUCCA
This 104-nucleotide transfer RNA is filed under the name Bacteriophage sp. Its description in RNAcentral is "tRNA-Tyr". It matches the Rfam family "tRNA". From Rfam's summary of the family: Transfer RNA (tRNA) molecules are approximately 80 nucleotides in length. Their secondary structure includes four short double-helical elements and three loops (D, anti-codon, and T loops). The record is from RNAcentral.